CUAGUAUGUAUCAUCCCACACAUCAGUAUAUAUGUUUCUACUACAUAUCAUAACAGUUAACCAAUAAAAUUACCAUCAUGUGUCUAGAAUUGAUUGAAUUAUUUCAUACCAUUUGUAGUUAAGCACCUCUUAUUUAAUGUUUUUUAGAGUGAUUUUAAGGUGACCCAGAGUAAACUACUUUCUGUACAUAUUGACAGUAGUUAUUCUUGAGAAGAGACAUAUCUCCUUUUCAAAUUGACCUGUAAAAUGUUUGACACAUUCUUAAAUAGUUAUAAUGAACAAAUGAUGAAAUCAUUGUCAGUGCCAUAAGUCAGUCAUCUAACUUGAAUAUGCAUAUAUGUAAUUUUUUCAAAGUUAUAAGACAUUUUCACAUAUGUGGUUUAAUUUUUGGAGUCCUGUGGUUUAUUUUUUAAGAUUCCUUUUUUCCAUAAAUGAGCAUACCCCUUGAAUCCUUUCGUGAUGUGGCUCCUCCUGUCAUUUUUUUUUUCAGCCAAUAAGUUCUUUUAAAAUUUAAUACUUUGAAUACAUCUAAUAGUUCCAUAGUUUUUACACAUUUAUUCUACGGUUCUCUACUUUCCAAAUUAAAACAAAUGGAUAAGUUCAGUCACUUUUUUUAAAACAGAAACAUGUCCAAUAUCACUACACAGAGAUUUUUUGUUUGCACACAUCUCUUCAGUUACUCAAUUAGAAGCGCAUUAAGGAUAUUCACCCAUUUGUAACACUUUAAGUGGUGAGCCCCACCAUCUAUAUCCACCUCUGACAUUAUGGUUCAGUUUGUUUUCAAAGUUUUUUCAAGACAACUAUAACUUUGUCAAGUUUUUAUGAAAUUUUAUAAACAUUAUAAGAAACUUUUAC
Molecule: long non-coding RNA, 855 nt
Filed under: Mytilus galloprovincialis (Mediterranean mussel)
Lineage: Eukaryota; Metazoa; Mollusca; Bivalvia; Mytilida; Mytilidae
Source: RNAcentral